UGGAUUUGUAGUGUGUCAUUUACCUGGUACAUUGUAGUGGCAGAGGUUUGUUCAUGUAGGAAUCUUUUCUGUCUUUCCAGCUUGCGUGAACAGAGAACACCCCACCCAGUAUAAUAUCCCCAUUCUUAGAUAGCAGUGGGUUCUCAGGAUCUCCUCUACGCCUGCACACUGGCUCCUCAGCAUAAGAGGCAGAUACCACUAACAGCAGUUGCAGAAGUGCCCAUCCUUUUUCUGGCCAUCUUUGUGUUGAUGUCAUUUCUUGAGCUAAACCCUUAGUAGCAUUGAAGUACUGCAAUGACGAUGCACUACUUAUACUGGUAUUUAUACCUUUUGGUGCAGCAUAAGAAAUAAAUGAAUAGAGACUGUAGCUGACGCUGAAAUGGUUGUGUUGGUUGCCAUGACAACACCAGUAGCGCAUCUGAGAUCGUUAUGUUGUUUUCUGUUUGUUUUCGUUAUUUGGUACUCAUGUUUGUGUUCAUUUGCAGUAGGAAAAGAUAAUCUGUGAAUCCAGUAAUACAUCCUGCUUAUAAGAAACGUUUUUGUUAAAAAUUAUUGUGAAGUAGUCACUUCCUGUGAGUCGCGGGAACCGGAAGUUGUGCGCCGGAGAGACAAGACAGAGCGGUAACACGGCGGACUUUUUGGAAUGUACAACUUUUCUACUGCUGGUUUUACAAGGCGUACACGUUUUCACGGUGCUCCAUGAUUGUGAGAGGAAUAAAAGAAUUGUGGACAUCAGUACGAAGCGUGGAUUCUUUCGACCAGAGUAGAUACAGUGAAAACGUGUCCCAAUCCAUCUGGAGGCUUCGGUGUGCAAAGCUCUUCUCAUCCUGCAACAAGCUACAGGUCUCGGUUUGCAACGCGCUUCUCCUCCUGCAGCAAACUACAGGCUUCGGUGUGCAAAGCUCUUCUCAUCCUGCAGCAAGCUACAGGUCUCGGUUGCUUCUCAUCCUGCAGUGAGCUACAGGCUUCAGUGGACACGUUGCUUUCCAUUCUGUGACAACCAAACGGGAGCUGCAGAUUCAGCGGACACUCCAAGAAGUGGUUUCAGGCUAAAGCGUGAGUCCUCAGGCUAUAUUGCGCAGUUAUUAUGCCUCAAGAGUUGAUGGAUAGAACAUGAGCUACAAAUUUGCUAUAAUGGACAAGAUAUUAAUAGUGUUCAAAUUUCAGACUGUGUAAAAAAAAAAAAAAAAAAAGACAAUCUGUGGAAGUUCUGGAAAUUAUUGUUGCUUUCUUACCUAUUGUUUGCAAGCUUCAUGAAGGCUGAAACUGAAGAUUUAUUUGCUCUCAUACGUAAGAAUCUAAGCUAAGGUGGCUUUGUGUUAAUUUUAAUAAUUGUCCGCCUAUUACAUCCAUUCCAUUUUUUAAUUACCUUAGAUAUCUUGUCCUCUUCAUAAGAUACCCCCUUUAAAGUCUGAAAAUGUCUAAAGAUGGUCAUAGUCACCGUGAUGUUAUGUCAGAAGUACAAGAUGCAGGGGAUUUGGAAGAGGGA
Long non-coding RNA from Oreochromis aureus, 1489 nucleotides. The record is from Ensembl. NCBI's taxonomy places the organism in Eukaryota, Metazoa, Chordata, Actinopteri, Cichliformes, Cichlidae.